CCACAGAAGGCAGGAUAUUGAAUGACUACUGUGAGUUUCACUGGCUCACAGGGUACCAUGGGCAGAGGUCCCACAUCCGGCACUUGGGACCUGAAUUCCUCGUGCCGACUGUCAGCAACGGAAACCUCACCUCAAGAGCCGCGCACGACACUGGGACUCAAGAUGGUGGCAGCGGGCCGUGUGCAGACACGCUGCACACACCUCAGUACAAGAUGGUGGCAGCGGGCCGUGUGCAGAGACGCCCUGCACCCUGACCUGGACCUAGGGCAGGAGCAGCACAGCUGCAGCCCCCUCCCCACUAAAGAGAUCCCAACAAAACAGCCCCGCCCACCGCCUACGGGAAGAGCAUUUGCUCUGAGCUCGCACGUCUCCGAUCUUUGAUGAAAGAAUAAAGAUCAAAGACCUUUGCUUCUGAACUAAACCCGGUCUCAUUCUGUUGGCACAAAUGACACUGGGCAGGAGGACCCUAGCUGGGACCCGACUAGAAAGGGUCAGUAACAGAAUGAAUGUCACCCGCCCUGAAAUGGGCCCAGAGGGGUUAAAAAAGCAGUGCCUGCCCCUUGGCUGCUAGGGUGUGUACACCUGUUAGACUCCUGCUAGCUUCAGGAGCAUAUAGCGUCUGCAGCCACACCGGGCCUCACAUUUGGCUCAAUGCUCCACUGCUGCAGUCUUAAAAUCCUAACAGUUUUUGAACAAAGGACCCUGAAUUUUCCUUUUGCAUUGAGCCCCACAAAUUACACAGCUGGUCCUGCUAUAGGUUGUUAUAGAAGAGUGAUAAAGGACCCAGAUGCAG
Molecule: long non-coding RNA, 793 nt
Organism: Bos taurus (domestic cattle)
Lineage: Eukaryota; Metazoa; Chordata; Mammalia; Artiodactyla; Bovidae
Source: Ensembl